RNAcentral lists this ribosomal RNA (1512 nucleotides) under uncultured bacterium. RNAcentral's name for it is "bacterial SSU rRNA". It matches the Rfam family "Bacterial small subunit ribosomal RNA". The record is from RNAcentral.
AGAGUUUGAUCAUGGCUCAGGAUGAACGCUGGCGGCGUGCCUAACACAUGCAAGUCGAGCGAGAAAUCUAUGUGUUGAAACUUCGGUAGAAACUUUUAGAUGGAAAGCGGCGGACGGGUGAGUAACGCGUAGGCAACCUGCCCUUAGCAGGGGGAUAGCCAUUGGAAACGAUGAUUAAAACCCCAUAAUGCAGAGAGUUCACAUGUAUUUUCUGCCAAAGAUUUAUCGGCUAGGGAUGGGCCUGCGUCUGAUUAGCUAGUUGGUGAGGUAACGGCUCACCAAGGCAACGAUCAGUAGCCGACCUGAGAGGGUGAUCGGCCACAUUGGAACUGAGACACGGUCCAAACUCCUACGGGAGGCAGCAGUGGGGAAUAUUGCACAAUGGGCGAAAGCCUGAUGCAGCAACGCCGCGUGAAGGAUGAAGGUCUUCGGAUCGUAAACUUCUGUCCUUGGGGAAGAAGAAAGUGACGGUACCCAUGGAGGAAGCCCCGGCUAACUACGUGCCAGCAGCCGCGGUAAUACGUAGGGGGCGAGCGUUAUCCGGAAUUAUUGGGCGUAAAGAGUGCGUAGGUGGUCUUUUAAGCGAGAGGUUUAAGGCUACGGCUUAACCGUAGUUCGCCUCCCGAACUGAAAGACUUGAGUGCAGGAGGGGAAAGCGGAAUUCCUAGUGUAGCGGUGAAAUGCGUAGAUAUUAGGAGGAACACCGGUGGCGAAGGCGGCUUUCUGGACUGAAACUGACACUGAGGCACGAAAGCGUGGGGAGCAAACAGGAUUAGAUACCCUGGUAGUCCACGCCGUAAACGAUGAGCACUAGGUGUCGGGGGUAUAAACCUCGGUGCCGCAGUUAACGCAUUAAGUGCUCCGCCUGGGGAGUACGCACGCAAGUGUAAAACUCAAAGGAAUUGACGGGGACCCGCACAAGCAGCGGAGCAUGUGGUUUAAUUCGAAGCAACGCGAAGAACCUUACCAGGGCUUGACAUCCUCUUGAAAGGUCGGGUAACGCUGACCCCUCUUCGGACAAGAGAGACAGGUGGUGCAUGGUUGUCGUCAGCUCGUGUCGUGAGAUGUUGGGUUAAGUCCCGCAACGAGCGCAACCCUUGCCUUUAGUUGCCAUCAUUAAGUUGGGCACUCUAGAGGGACUGCCGGGGACAACUCGGAGGAAGGUGGGGAUGACGUCAAAUCAUCAUGCCCCUUAUGUUCUGGGCUACACACGUGCUACAAUGGCCGGUACAACAGGAAGCAAUACCGUGAGGUGGAGCGAAUCCCCAAAGCCGGUCCCAGUUCGGAUUGUAGGCUGCAACCCGCCUACAUGAAGUCGGAGUUGCUAGUAAUCGCGGAUCAGAAUGCCGCGGUGAAUGCGUUCCCGGGUCUUGUACACACCGCCCGUCACACCAUGGAAGUUGGGGGUGCCCGAAGUUGGUUAAUUAAUCUACUACCUAAGGCAAAACCAAUGACUGGGGUGAAGUCGUAACAAGGUAGCCGUAUCGGAAGGUGCGGCUGGAUCACCUCCUU